Molecule: ribosomal RNA, 440 nt
Filed under: uncultured bacterium
Lineage: Bacteria
Description: partial 16S ribosomal RNA
Rfam family: Bacterial small subunit ribosomal RNA
Source: RNAcentral
CCUACGGGAGGCAGCAGUGGGGAAUAUUGCACAAUGGGGGAAACCCUGAUGCAGCGACGCCGCGUGAGUGAAGAAGUAAUUCGUUAUGUAAAGCUCUAUCAGCAGGGAAGAAAAUGACGGCACCUGAGUAAGAAGCCCCGGCUAACUACGUGCCAGCAGCCGUGGUCAUACGUAGGGGGCAAGCGUUAUCCGGAUUUACUGGGCGUAAAGGGAGCGUAGACGGCAGUGCAAGUCUGGAGUGAAAGGCGGGGGCUCAACCCCCGGACUGCUCUGGAAACGGUACGGCUGGAGUGCAGGAGAGGUAAGUGGAAUUCCUAGUGUAGCGGUGAAAUGCGUAGAUAGUAGGAGGAACACCAGUGGCGAAGGCGGCUUACUGGACUGUAACUGACGUUGAGGCUCGAAAGCGUGGGGAGCAAACAGGAUUAGAUACCCCUGUAGUC